GGUUAAGUGAAUAAGGGCGCACGGUGGAUGCCUUGGCACUAGGAGCCGAUGAAGGACGGGACUAACACCGAUAUGCUUUGGGGAGCUGUAAGUAAGCUAUGAUCCAGAGAUUUCCGAAUGGGGGAACCCAAUAUCUUUUAUAGGAUAUUACUUUUCAGUGAAUACAUAGCUGAUUAGAGGUAGACGCAGAGAACUGAAACAUCUUAGUACCUGCAGGAAGAGAAAGAAAAUUCGAUUCCCUGAGUAGCGGCGAGCGAAACGGGAAGAGCCCAAACCAACAAGCUUGCUUGUUG
RNAcentral lists this ribosomal RNA (293 nucleotides) under Escherichia coli. RNAcentral describes it as "partial 23S ribosomal RNA". It matches the Rfam family "Bacterial large subunit ribosomal RNA", at positions 1 to 294 of the family's 2925-position model. Lineage: Bacteria; Pseudomonadati; Pseudomonadota; Gammaproteobacteria; Enterobacterales; Enterobacteriaceae. The record is from RNAcentral.